CCUACGGGUGGCAGCAGUAGGGAAUAUUGCGCAAUGGGCGAAAGCCUGACGCAGCGACGCCGCGUGAGUGACGAAGGCCUUCGGGUUGUAAAACUCUGUCCUUGGGGAAGAAGGAAGUGACGGUACCCAAGGAGGAAGCCCCGGCUAACUACGUGCCAGCAGCCGCGGUAAAACGUAGGGGGCGAGCGUUGUCCGGAAUUACUGGGCGUAAAGGGUGCGUAGGCGGCCUUUUAAGUCAGGUGUGAAAGACCACAGCUUAACUGUGGGGUUGCACUUGAAACUGGGAGGCUUGAGUUUCGGAGAGGAAGGUGGAAUUCCCGGUGUAGCGGUGAAAUGCGUAGAUAUCGGGAGGAACGCCAGUGGCGAAGGCGGCCUUCUGGCCUUGACCUGACGCUGAGGAGCGAAAGCCAGGGUAGCGAACGGGAUUAGAUACCCGUGUAGUCAC
RNAcentral lists this ribosomal RNA (445 nucleotides) under uncultured Clostridia bacterium. RNAcentral describes it as "bacterial SSU rRNA". It matches the Rfam family "Bacterial small subunit ribosomal RNA", at positions 338 to 797 of the family's 1533-position model. Lineage: Bacteria; Bacillati; Bacillota; Clostridia. The record is from RNAcentral.